GUACCUGUAUAGCCACCCGAGGAAGGCGCUGCUUCGCGUUCACAUGAAAAAGUGGUAGUGUAAAAUCAAGUUUGCAAGCGGAAGCACGCGUCGAUGCGUGCUCGUUUUUCCUCUCGUGAAACCAGCACGGAAAAAACUAUCUGCAAAUCGUAACACACGCACAAACGGAAGUGAGCACGGACCACGAUAGAAUUAAUCAAGUGGUUGUGCCAAAAACAAAAGGACAGGAGAGGCAGGAACGAUCAUUCAACGCGUUAGCGCCGGAUGCAGGAGAAACGGCAGGAAGGCAGG
Molecule: long non-coding RNA, 291 nt
Organism: Anopheles merus
Lineage: Eukaryota; Metazoa; Arthropoda; Insecta; Diptera; Culicidae
Exons: 3
Source: RefSeq, a predicted model, not a curated record